UUCGUGUAAUUUGUAGUUCUGAUCCUAAACAUAAACAACGUCAAGGUUAACUAUAAAAAUUAUUAGGAGUACAUAGUGGCCCGUAUAGCCGGUAUUAAUAUCCCUGAU
Baumannia cicadellinicola str. Hc (Homalodisca coagulata) is the source of this 108-nucleotide regulatory RNA element. It matches the Rfam family "Alpha operon ribosome binding site". Rfam says of the family: The bacterial alpha operon ribosome binding site is surrounded by this complex pseudoknotted structure. The record is from Rfam. Lineage: Bacteria; Pseudomonadati; Pseudomonadota; Gammaproteobacteria.